UAAUUUUGCCUUGAUAAAUCAUGACGCAUUUGACAUUAUUUUCUAGCGUCUUUAUCAAUGGCUAAACACAUCCAAUAAAGGAAAACCUAACUUGGCUACUCACUCACUAAUUUGUCAUCUAAGGUUUUGCAGCAGUAAUCAAGAAAGAUGCAUGAAUUGGACACUAAUGGCCAAGAACAAUGCAACUUGCAGCAGUUCCUUCCGCAAAUGGAUAUCUAAG
Molecule: long non-coding RNA, 220 nt
Filed under: Glycine max (soybean)
Lineage: Eukaryota; Viridiplantae; Streptophyta; Magnoliopsida; Fabales; Fabaceae
Description: long non-coding RNA (GMAX_LNC000736)
Source: RNAcentral